GACGAACGCUGGCGGCGUGCUUAACACAUGCAAGUCGAACGGUGAAGCUCCAGCUUGCUGGAGUGGAUCAGUGGCGAACGGGUGAGUAACACGUGAGCAACCUGCCCCUGACUCUGGAAUAAGCGCUGGAAACGGCGUCUAAUACUGGAUACGAGAAGGGUCCGCAUGGGCACUUUCUGGAAAGUUUUUCGGUUGGGGAUGGGCUCGCGGCCUUUCAGCUUGUUGGUGAGGUAAUGGCUCACCAAGGCGACGACGGGUAGCCGGCCUGAGAGGGCGACCGGCCACACUGGGACUGAGACACGGCCCAGACUCCUACGGGAGGCAGCAGUGGGGAAUAUUGCACAAUGGGCGAAAGCCUGAUGCAGCGACGCCGCGUGAGGGAUGACGGCCUUCGGGUUGUAAACCUCUUUCAGCAGGGAAGAAGCGAAAGUGACGGUACCUGCAGAAGAAGCACCGGCUAACUACGUG
RNAcentral lists this ribosomal RNA (468 nucleotides) under uncultured bacterium. Its description in RNAcentral is "partial 16S ribosomal RNA". It matches the Rfam family "Bacterial small subunit ribosomal RNA", at positions 28 to 507 of the family's 1533-position model. The record is from RNAcentral.